This 305-nucleotide ribosomal RNA is filed under the name uncultured bacterium. RNAcentral's name for it is "bacterial SSU rRNA". It matches the Rfam family "Bacterial small subunit ribosomal RNA", at positions 333 to 653 of the family's 1533-position model. The record is from RNAcentral.
AGGGCCCUACGGGGGGCAGCAGUGGGGAAUAUUGGGCAAUGGACGCAAGUCUGACCCAGCAACGCCGCGUGAAGGAAGAAGGCUUUCGGGUUGUAAACUUCUUUUAAGAGGGAAGAGAAGAAGACGGUACCUCUUGAAUAAGCCACGGCUAACUACGUGCCAGCAGCCGCGGUAAUACGUAGGUGGCAAGCGUUGUCCGGAUUUACUGGGCGUAAAGGGCGUGCAGCCGGGCUGACAAGUCAGAUGUGAAAUCCCGCGGCUCAACCGCGGAACUGCAUUUGAAACUGUCAGUCUUGAGUACCGGG